CCUACGGGAGGCAGCAGUGAGGAAUAUUGGACAAUGGGCGCAAGCCUGAUCCAGCCAUGCCGCGUGCAGGAAGACGGUCCUAUGGAUUGUAAACUGCUUUUGUACGGGAAGAAACACUCCUACGUGUAGGAGCUUGACGGUACCGUAAGAAUAAGGAUCGGCUAACUCCGUGCCAGCAGCCGCGGUAAUACGGAGGAUCCAAGCGUUAUCCGGAAUCAUUGGGUUUAAAGGGUCCGUAGGCGGUUUAGUAAGUCAGUGGUGAAAGCCCAUCGCUCAACGAUGGAACGGCCAUUGAUACUGCUAGACUUGAAUUACUAGGAAGUAACUAGAAUAUGUAGUGUAGCGGUGAAAUGCUUAGAUAUUACAUGGAAUACCAAUUGCGAAGGCAGGUUACUACUAGUGGAUUGACGCUGAUGGACGAAAGCGUGGGGAGCGAACAGGAUUAGAUACCCUGGUAGUCCACGCCGUAAACGAUGGAUACUAGCUGUUCGGGGCAACCUGAGUGGCUAAGCGAAAGUGAUAAGUAUCCACCUGGGGAGUACGUUCGCAAGAAUGAAACUUAAAGAAGUAGUAGGCGUGAGACGUGCGACGGAGACACAGGGAGGUUAGG
This 610-nucleotide ribosomal RNA is filed under the name uncultured bacterium. RNAcentral describes it as "bacterial SSU rRNA". It matches the Rfam family "Bacterial small subunit ribosomal RNA", at positions 338 to 950 of the family's 1533-position model. The record is from RNAcentral.